CUAUAGCUCUGGAGUUUUUGUAGAUUUUCAAAUAAAACUCAGAGAUUCCUUGUAUGACUCUCUAAAUCUCUCUUUUUUGGUAUUUCUGGAUCCUUACCAAGGCAGUGAUGGUAUAUGCCUUCUCUCAAGAUAUGUGGUAUUUGUGGUAUAAGGCAUAGUGACAUUGCCUUCUCUCUCACCCUACUCUUAAUAAGGCUUUAAUAUCUGGAGCUCAUAGGUGGGAGAUAAAGUAUACAUACUUACAAGACAUUUAUUGUAUAGUCAAACCAUGGAUCCAAAGAAACAAAUCAAUAAGCCAAAUCAAGGUGUGCAUGUGUGGCGAAUGAAUGGUGUAUAGUGAUGAUGGUGAUAACAAUGGUGAAAGUCUAAUUCUACUUUUGCUCUUUUGAGGGGAUACAUACCUUCCUUGCUUUUUGAAACUUUAUGAGGAGAAUGAGAUGCUCUUCUUUUUCUUUUCUCUCAGAUGGGUAUCCUGUACCCCUAAUUCUACUGUCGGACACUUGUCCAUUUUUACCUCUCGUCACACUCUUUUUCUUUUCUUUCGAGGUUCCGGGCACUUGCCCCUUUUUAUUUCCUCGUUUAUUUUUUUUUCUUUUCUUUUUUUUUCUUCUUUUUUUUUCAGAGCACUCAUCUCUUGAGAUAAUAUAGCAAGUGGUAGUAGCAAGAUAACUUGAGCAUUUAUUUCACAAGGGGAAAACACAGAUGUUUUUGGCUAUUCUGUCCCGAAUUAGGAGUAGAAUAUUUUUAGGUGAUUCUGGAGAUGGAAAUGGAUGGAUAUAUGUGGAUGGUACUUCCAGAGUAGAAGUAGCAUAUAUAUGAGUGAACGUGCAAGUGAAUCUUGAUUUAACCACAUGACAAGCUUCUAAGGGUCUACACAGCUUGACCACACUCAAUGCUCAUAAGCAGUAAAUAAUAAAUGUGUGGCUCAAAGUCUAGCAAGCAUGUAUAUGGCUGUGGUAGGAAUUUAAACUUUCAUCAUACAGGAACUCAUCAUGCAACAUUUUAAAGAUUUUUCAAAGAUAAAAUUCUCCAGAAUUCUAGCAUCUCUAGGAAUAGAUAAACAGCAGCUCAACCUUCCCAUAUCAUAUCCGUUAACAACUUAGAUUUCAGAUCAAGUUUUCAUCCCACAAGUUUAGAUCUAGAGCAAACUUUAAAUUAUAAUAGUUAUGUCUAAACUUGAGAGAGAACUUCAAAUUUGCAAAUUAGGCAGAGCAACUAUUCAUCAUAUCCAUGCUAGAGUUUUAUUAUUAAGAUUCAGAUUAGCAUAGCCACUUUAUUUAUUUAUUAAACACACUAAGCAAAAGAUAUAUAUAAGCACAAAAUCUUUAUUUGUUUUUUCAUAGUUUAUGUAUUCUAAUAUAAUAUAAGUAUAAAGAUAGGUAGAAAUACUUAGCGAGAUAAAUGGGGGUGCUCUUCCUCAAACUGAAUUUUGACGUAAUUUCUCUUGAUGUAGCUAGCAGGUGGCAGAGGUGUAUUUGAAAGUCAGCAGCAUUCUGACAACGAUUAGAAUAUCCUCCGUCUGCUAGUCUUCUUGAUUCUUAAAUUCUGUGGAGCUCAAAUAGACAACAAAGCUUGUGGAACUAAUUAAGUGUUAGCAUAAAUAUCUAGCCUUCAUCACGUUGAGCUUCCUCAAUAAAUAUUACUCCCUGUUUUUAUAUUUUUAUUUUAUAAAGUAGAAAAGAAAUAUUUAUUUUAUUUUUAUGCCACCACAGUGAAGUUACUUAUGAGUUUUAUGCCACUCGUAUACCCACAUGGGGCUUAGUAUUUUUUAAAAUUUUUAUUUUCUUUUCAAGAUAGCAUGAUUAACUAAUAAUCUAUUUAAGGAAAGUAAAUAAUUAAAUGGAAAAGGGAAUGCAGAAAGGAUAAAUAUGGAUAACUACCAAUCUUACCUUUCGGCGAGGGUUCAAUGUUUUAAGUCUUCUUGUCAAGACUUCUCAUCGUGUUCAUUCUUCAGGUGCGUCAUUUGAUUCAGGUGCGGACCUUGACGUCUGCACCUUUUAAUACGGUGUCACCCAUGUUCUUCGUUUGCCCAGCAGUUCGAAGUGCGGUGUUAGCAGUAUCUUGCUCAGUGUGUUUGUGCUCGUAGUGUACCUGCUCAUAGAGACAAGGCAGAGAUCAAGUGCAUGGGCCCUGUUGGUGGAAAACACCAACAGAACCAAAAGUGUCUUUGUUCUUCUCUAACCUUAAGCAUAGUGAGCAAGACAAGUUGAUGGAUGAUAAGUUCAUGAGUGUAGCACUUAUAACAUUUGUCAGAUCAGAUCGCUCAACCUUACGGAAAGAUAAUCUAUCUAUGUAUAUGUUUUUUCUUUAUAUCUCUCAAUGAUUGAGUGUGUAACAUUUUAGCUCAUAUGAUUAGGAGUGUGGGAUCAUAGAGGUAGUACUAAGAACAAGGAUUAAAGGACUAAACAUGCUGAAUCAGUUGGGUUGGUUAAUCUAGAGUUGUAAAUCAUACAUGUUUGUCUCUUUUAUUUAUAUGAACGCCAGAACCAAGGAGAAGCUUAUAAAAGUGAUAGUCA
This 2516-nucleotide long non-coding RNA is filed under the name Sorghum bicolor (sorghum). RNAcentral describes it as "long non-coding RNA (SBIC_LNC004761)". The record is from RNAcentral. Lineage: Eukaryota; Viridiplantae; Streptophyta; Magnoliopsida; Poales; Poaceae.